Molecule: ribosomal RNA, 495 nt
Filed under: uncultured bacterium
Lineage: Bacteria
Description: partial 16S ribosomal RNA
Rfam family: Bacterial small subunit ribosomal RNA
Source: RNAcentral
GACGAACGCUGGCGGCGUGCCUAAUACAUGCAAGUAGAACGCUGAAGGAGGAGCUUGCUUCUCUGGAUGAGUUGCGAACGGGUGAGUAACGCGUAGGUAACCUGCCUGGUAGCGGGGGAUAACUAUUGGAAACGAUAGCUAAUACCGCAUAAUAGUAGAUGUUGCAUGACAUUUGCCUAAAAGGUGCAAUUGCAUCACUACCAGAUGGACCUGCGUUGUAUUAGCUAGUUGGUGGGGUAACGGCUCACCAAGGCGACGAUACAUAGCCGACCUGAGAGGGUGAUCGGCCACACUGGGACUGAGACACGGCCCAGACUCCUACGGGAGGCAGCAGUAGGGAAUCUUCGGCAAUGGACAGAAGUCUGACCGAGCAACGCCGCGUGAGUGAAGAAGGGUUUCGGAUCGUAAAGCUCUGUUGUAAGAGAAGAACGAGUGUGAGAGUGGAAAGUUCACACUGUGACGGUAGCUUACCAGAAAGGGACGGCUAACUACGUG